AUUAAUAUCGGAGCAGGCGGAGCGAUAGGGGGCUCCCUUGCUCCCUCUGUUUUUGAAGCGAUUUCAAAAUGUUGGGUAAGUGAACUGGGAAGGGACGCUGAUUGGUCGAUAACUUAUCCCGAGAGCGGACUUGAUACGCCCGGGACCUGCCACUCAGUCGCCAUGCACUCAUAUGAUAGGACGUCAGACAGACUACCAACCCUGGUAUCAUCCCUUCUCGUUACUAUGACAACCGACUCCACGGCGACUGUUGUUGCACUUGGCACCGAAACUCACUCCGCUACUAAUUAUAUCACAGAAAAUAGCUACCAGUCAUGGAAUUCCAAAAAUAUCGGGUGGCUGGGAGCAAGAAAGACGGCGCGUGCAGUUGGCCUCCGUAACGGAACGGAGGCGCGCAAGUCAUUAUUAUGCUAGCAAGUCGUAACCAAUCACACUUGGGACACCACACGCAUUCCAACAAAACUUUUUUGGGGUAGAGAGCGCCUUUUUUCCGCGUGUGUCAUCUUCUACAAUAGCUACAGUGUCCGAUUGUAAAGUGGUGGGUAAACAGUGAUUAUGAAGAGCCAGCGAACCAUGAGCUACUAUCCGUAUCAUCCUCUUGGCUAAAUCUGAUUGGAAUCACAUCAUAUCCACCAGAUAGUCGGGAGAGGAUCAGCAUGACCCCGAUUAGAAGCAUUUUGCUAACACCACUUCAUCCAUUCAUCACACGCGAUUUGUAAAAGAAAUUCAUAUCUGUAUUUGAUCGAAUGAUUCGAUAUUACCAGAUGAACUGGACACGCCUUUGAACGAGGCACCACCACUACUACCACCACACCCCUCACGACUCCACCCCAGACCAGCUCGGUUACCCCCAGUUAAAAGAAGACUCUGUGGAAACUCGUCGUUCUUGGGAGGGGCAUCAGCUUUCAUUUUCAUGAAGAAAAGAGGCCGAACUUCUUCAACGUUUUGUUCGUGACUCUUAACGUUGUAAUCGAUACUUUGGAUGAAGGGAGAAAGUUCUUUGAUGAAACCUUCCAAAAUGGGGAGACGGAGAUAACAUUUAAAGAAUCCUGAGAAACUGUUUUAGAAGCCAGGAAUCAACUAAUCUCCAGUUUCUUAUUUAAAUCGGACUCGUAGAAUUUGAGCCGAAACGUGGAACAUAUUUACGGAUACCAUAUCCAACUGGGAUUUCCUAAAAGGAAUUUUAUCAUUUCGUUCUCCAAGAAUCUAAAAAGAUCAUCAUGUUGAUACUGUGUUUGCUGUGCCUCACAUGGAUGAUACCCAUCCUGGCUGGGUCUACCUUAGUCCCUGCAGAUCGUUCAUCAUCAGAGAGAAAUGUUGACGAUUCACACUACCUCCCCCAAACCAACCCACUCCUACUCCUCGAGGAAUACACUUCAUUAAAAUCACAGAACGAGGACCUGGACCCGUUAUUGUUCCCUCCUGGAACCGAGAUUCGAAUCGCCCCGCACAGGGUCCUGAAACCUUCGAGCGAAGAAGCCAUGCAGAUUACAGAAAAACAAUACCUCCGCGGGGACUGGUGCAAAACGCAGCCCUUGAAGCAACGGAUCGAAGAGCCAGGAUGUAUCCCAAGGACCAUCGCAAACAGAUUCUGUUACGGACAGUGCAACUCUUUCUUUAUUCCCAAACAAGCGGCGUCUUAUAACGAAGCUUUCAAAUCGUGCUCGUUUUGUAAACCGUUUCGAGUGAACCACAUCACAGUAACUUUACGAUGCCCUGGUCAGAAUCCACCUAUCAAGAGGAAACGGGUUCCCAGAGUAAAACGGUGCAGGUGUAUGGCGGUUGAUGUUCCGUAGAUCAACGACCAUCGCGUUUAACUUUAUAAACAAUUAUUUAUAUCUUGUGGACAAACUUUGCGAUGAAAAGACAUCUAUGAUGAAUUUAUCUAUGACAUGUAUCAUUAUUACUACUAUUUGAAGAAAAAAAAGAAAACACUGCCACGCAACACACAUUAUUCGAUGUAUACAUAUAUUAUUGUACAUGUAUAUGGACGUGUGAAGCGGGCUCUGAUUGGUGGAUUAGGAAAAUCAACGAAUCAUCACGUGACUUCACGAGAUGACGACAUUACUGAGUGGUGUCCAACUAGCUCUACGUAUUGAUUGAGCUGCUAUGUACGACGACGGGAGCUCAUAGGCACGACGCCAUAUUUAUGCAAUUAAUAUAAUGCACUCAUUUAAUUAUUGAUAUUUGUAUAACAGAAGAUAUGAGAUAUUCACAUUGUACAUAUUGUAUAAUGAUAUAAUCUGUACUGUAUUCAAUGAAGAUAUUCUCUACUACUCCUAUUUUUUUGUGAGUGAAAUAUAAUGUAAAUACAUGGAGAUAUGUAUGAACUAUAAA
Long non-coding RNA from Strongylocentrotus purpuratus (purple sea urchin), 2337 nucleotides. RefSeq lists it as uncharacterized. The record is from RefSeq and is a predicted model, not a curated record. The transcript is spliced from 2 exons. NCBI's taxonomy places the organism in Eukaryota, Metazoa, Echinodermata, Echinoidea, Camarodonta, Strongylocentrotidae.